UUCCACUUUUCAUUUUUAAGCCAUUUCAUUGCCAGUGGCUUCGUCCCUUAGGCCUGACGCUGACCCUGAAAUUAAGGAGCGAAAAUAAAUCAGCGUUGGGUGGGGCAAACCCACGUGGUAACCACGGUAACGCUGGUGGGGCGAGAGCCCUGCGCAAGCGCAUUACAUCCCAGGUCGGCCAGCCCACCCCUGGGCUGCCAGCCUGGGUCCCUCCUCUCUGCCUCCGACUCCAAGGGCGGGCCACAGCAGGCUAGGGGGAGCGAGGCCGGGGCUGGGCGCCUGCGCAGUGGCUGGGGCGCUGGUGUGCUCGAGCUCACGUAGCGAGGGCCGCUGUCGCGGCCUAGAGGUUAUAAAAGGGCUAACUGGCUCCCUCUGCUGCCCAGUUGCGCCGCCAGCGGGCUGAGGGGAGGGAGUAGGUAGCCGGUCCGGGUGCAGGCGACAGGGGACCCAAGAGCGCGCCACCAUCCUGUCCCACUUUACAGAUUUGUGAACCUAUAAAGUUAAAUCUUCCAAGAUGAUCUGGUAUAUUUUAAUUGUAGGGAGUCUACUUCCCGAGUCUUUAGCCCAUCCAGGCUUUUUUACUUCAAUUGGUCAGAUGACUGAUUUGAUCCAUACUGAGAAAGAUCUGGUGACUUCUCUGAAAGAUUACAUUAAGGCAGAAGAAGACAAAUUAGAACAAAUAAAAAAAUGGGCAGAGAAGUUAGAUCGGUUAACCAGCACGGCAACAAAAGACCCAGAAGGAUUUGUUGGGCAUCCUGUAAAUGCAUUCAAGUUAAUGAAACGUCUAAACACUGAGUGGAGUGAGUUGGAGAAUUUGGUACUUAAGGAUAUGUCAGAUGGUUUUAUCUCUAACCUAACCAUUCAGAGACAGUACUUCCCUAAUGAUGAAGAUCAGGUUGGGGCAGCCAAAGCUCUGUUGCGUCUCCAGGACACCUACAAUUUAGAUACAGAGACCAUCUCAAAGGGUGAUCUUCCAGGAGUAAAACACAAAUCUUUUCUAACAGCUGAGGAUUGCUUUGAGUUGGGCAAAGUAGCUUAUACAGAAGCAGAUUAUUACCAUACAGAACUGUGGAUGGAACAAGCACUAAGGCAACUGAAUGAAGGCGAGGUUUCUACUAUAGAUAAAGUCUCUGUUCUGGACUAUUUGAGCUAUGCAGUAUACCAGCAGGGAGACCUGGAUAAGGCACUUUUGCUCACAAAGAAGCUUCUUGAACUAGAUCCUGAACAUCAGAGAGCUAAUGGUAAUUUAAAAUAUUUUGAGUAUAUAAUGGCUAAAGAAAAAGAUGUCAAUAAGUCUUCUUCAGAUGACCAAUCUGAUCAGAAAACCACACCAAAGAAAAAAGGGGUUGCUGUGGAUUACCUGCCAGAGAGACAGAAGUACGAAAUGCUGUGCCGUGGGGAGGGUAUCAAAAUGACUCCUCGGAGACAAAAAAAACUCUUUUGUCGCUACCAUGAUGGAAAUCGGAAUCCUAAAUUUAUUCUGGCUCCAGCCAAACAGGAGGAUGAAUGGGACAAGCCUCGUAUUAUUCGCUUCCAUGAUAUUAUUUCUGAUGCAGAAAUUGAAAUUGUUAAAGACCUAGCAAAACCAAGGCUGAGCCGAGCUACAGUACAUGACCCUGAGACUGGAAAAUUGACCACAGCACAGUACAGAGUAUCUAAGAGUGCCUGGCUUUCUGGCUAUGAAAAUCCUGUGGUGUCUCGAAUUAAUAUGAGAAUACAAGAUCUAACAGGGCUAGAUGUUUCCACAGCAGAGGAAUUACAGGUAGCAAAUUAUGGAGUUGGAGGACAGUAUGAACCCCAUUUUGACUUUGCACGGAAAGAUGAGCCAGAUGCUUUCAAAGAAUUGGGCACAGGAAAUAGAAUUGCUACAUGGCUGUUUUAUAUGAGUGAUGUAUCUGCAGGAGGAGCCACUGUUUUUCCUGAAGUAGGGGCUAGUGUUUGGCCCAAAAAAGUAAGGAACUGCUGUUUUCUGGUAUAAUCUGUUUGCCAGUGGAGAAGGAGAUUAUAGUACACGGCAUGCAGCCUGUCCAGUGCUAGUUGGAAACAAAUGGGUGUCCAAUAAAUGGCUCCAUGAACGUGGACAAGAAUUUCGAAGACCAUGCACCUUGUCAGAAUUGGAAUGACAAACAGGCCUCCCUUCCUCUUCCAUUGGUGUGCUCUGAUGUGUCUGAUACACAGAUUUCCUAGUCUUAACUUCCAAGAGUUUACAAUUGACUAACACUCCAUGAUUGAUUCAAUCAUGAACCUCAUCCCAUAUUUCAUCUGUGAACAAUCACUUUGUGGGUUUUUUCCUGUUAAAAGUAACACUGAAUCACCACAUUAUACUAUAUAUAAAACCUUAAAGUUCAAUUAGUAUCACAUAAACAAGGCAGAGUUUAAAAUGAGGAACUUUUAAUUUUGUGUUAUAUUUUAAAGAACUUUUUGGUUGGAUAAAAAAUAUAAUUUCACUACAUCUCAGUUGGAUGGUAGGCUAGAGUGGGCCAUGUGAUAGGAAACACCUACCUUACAGUAUAUAUCUGGGUGUUAAGUUUACCUAGCCUUACUGUUUAUUUUCUGGAUCUGCCUGAUAAUCUAGGACUCUAAUCUGGGUUCCAUACAGUGUUUUCUAUUCCAUACAGUAUUCUAACUUGAUUUUUUUUUCAAUCCCUCUCCAUUCUAUCAUAGCUCCGCUGUGGUGAAUUUAACCUGUUUGAGUUAAAGUACUUUGAUUUAAAAAAAAAGUUUUUAUGAAGUCCUGUAUAACAUUACUGGGCCUUCUUAACCAAAACACUCAUCAUUUAAUCUGUUUCUUUCUCCAUUUUAUUAAAUGACUAAUAAUUUUGUCCAGAAAUUUUGCUCUUUUUCUUAGUGCUAAUACCUUGCCUCUUAUUCCUGCUACAGCAGGGUGGGGUGGUGAUGUUGGCAUUCUGAUUAAAUAAAUAUUGUGCCUUAGGAGACUGGAAGUUUAAAAAUGUGUAAGUCCUUUCAAUGAUGAGGAAACUGAUUUUUUUAAAAAGUACUCUUAAAAAGCCAAAAUGUUUGUUUUUUUUAAAAUUCUGAAAUGUGUUGUGACAAUAAUGACCUAUUUAUGAUCUUAAAUCUUUUUUAAAAAGUG
Molecule: RNA transcript, 3094 nt
Organism: Otolemur garnettii (small-eared galago)
Lineage: Eukaryota; Metazoa; Chordata; Mammalia; Primates; Galagidae
Gene: P4HA1
Gene name: prolyl 4-hydroxylase subunit alpha 1
Exons: 15
Source: RefSeq, a predicted model, not a curated record